Molecule: transfer RNA, 64 nt
Filed under: Camelus bactrianus (Bactrian camel)
Lineage: Eukaryota; Metazoa; Chordata; Mammalia; Artiodactyla; Camelidae
Also listed under: 2 other names
Rfam family: tRNA
About the family: Transfer RNA (tRNA) molecules are approximately 80 nucleotides in length. Their secondary structure includes four short double-helical elements and three loops (D, anti-codon, and T loops).
Source: Rfam by way of RNAcentral
GAAGGUAUAGCUCAGUGGUAGAGUGCGAUGCAUGAGGUCGUGGGUUCAAUUCCCAGCACCUCCA